AUAUAUAUAUAUAUAUUAUGUUUGCAACACUUUGUCCAUACAAGAAUACAAAUAUAUACUUUUUGUUAAAAUUGUCAAACAUUAUAUCAGUAAAAAUCUGGUCAGAACAGAAACAAGUUUGUCUUAGGCUCUGAAAUAAGUUUUAACUAAAAGAAAAAAAAGUUUAACAUUCUAUGUAAAGCAUAAAAACAAAAGAGAAGUUAACUCUUGACCUAAAACCUAACCAAGUCAACACAUGAAUGAUAGAAGAGGAAAUAGAAACAAACAAAAAAUGACAAGAGAAUAUAAACUAAUGACAAUGGUGAAUGAAGUAUUAAGGGACACAACUCUAUGCCAUGCCCAGGAAUAUAUAUUUAAAAGUUUUCCUUUGAGGCCAGCCACUAGAUAAGGUGGAACAGGCUUGACCAGCAUCUAUGACCCAAAUUGGUUUACAUAGAUGACAAGUGCAACCAACUAUAUAUGCUUUCUCCCCCAAGAGACCCAGUUUCAACAAGACCUGAACACCUUUGUCUGCUCUGCCAUAGGAAGUCUCAACGGCUUAACAAAUUUGUUACAAGUAUUUGUGUAGUUUGGACCAAAACAAUUUUUUGAAAGUUAAUUGGGUACAUUAAUGACCUCAUUGUAAUUUAAAAAUGAAAAUAGUCUAGAUCUAGACAUCUUUAAGUAAUAAAAAGUAUGUUACAAUAAUUCACAAAUUUUUAUGAUUAUUUAGUAGGUCUACUAGAUCUAGGCUAGCACUAAAUCUAGAUCUACAUCUUAUCAUAGGAAGAUAUUUCCAUUAUUGCCAUGUAUAAGACUACAGUCACGUGACCUUUUUUAUAAAGUAGGUCAGGGAUUAUGAACAACCUCCUUGGAAAAUUCGAACAGAAAAUGCUUAAGCAAAGUCUUGUUUUACUGGAAUAUCCUGUUAGAAUAGAUUAUUCCAUUCUAGCCCAAGGUUUGCAGCCGGGAUCAUUGAGAUGAAAGUCAAGAAUGCAUAUCACAUGACCAGCUAUCAAAGUCUUUUACAGCUUUACAUUUCUCAGUUAAAAAUACAAAGCAAAGAACAUUAUUAAGUUUCAGUUGAAUGGCCAUCAAAAAAUAUUCUUCUCACUAACUUUGACAAGAAGACUUGCAAUCUUCAUGGAGGUACACAGAUCAAGACUAGAUUGUAUUGCAGAGAAACAUCAAACAAACAAAGGAUUCAAUGAAUGAUUUAAAAAAAAAAGAAAUUUAUCGUAAAUAAAAAAAAAAUCUUGAAAAAAAAAAACAAGUGGGGGUGAACAAUAACUGUACAUCAUGAUGUAUUACAUAUUAAACAUCAGGAUGUAGAACACAUCAAACAAAGAUAAAAAAAAAAAAAAAAA
Molecule: non-coding RNA, 1346 nt
Organism: Biomphalaria pfeifferi
Lineage: Eukaryota; Metazoa; Mollusca; Gastropoda; Planorbidae
Source: the annotation of a GenBank genome assembly